Molecule: unclassified non-coding RNA, 175 nt
Filed under: Sarocladium implicatum
Lineage: Eukaryota; Fungi; Ascomycota; Sordariomycetes; Hypocreales; Sarocladiaceae
Also listed under: 1 other name
Description: sequence contains ITS2
Source: RNAcentral
CAACCCUCGGGCCCACCCCUCGCGGGGAACGGGCCCGGCGUUGGGGACCGGAGGCCGCCCCGGCGGCACCCGCCCCCUAAAUUCAGUGGCGGUCGCGCCGCAGCCUCCCCUGCGUAGUAGCACACCUCGCACCGGAGAGCGGCACGGCCACGCCUCGAAACCCCCCAAUUUUUCA